CGAGCGCUGGAAACCCAGCGACCACUGGGUUCCAGCGAGCACUCAAACUUUCGCCAGCAGAGACUCCUCAGAUGCGCCGGAAGCCGCGCCGCGAGCGUCGCCGAUCGCACCUCUCGCCGGAAGCUCCAGACGCGCAGAAUCCACUCCAUUUCAGAGUUCAGAGGAUCCAGUCUCCAGACGCCGCCGCAGCAGCAGCGCCGGCUCCGGCCUCUUCUCCAGUCAUAGCCUACAUCUGUUUGCUGCAAAGAAAAGAUAAAGGGACCUGUGUGCGUCAAUUUCCAACCCAACUUCCCAAUUAUUACAAAACCCGGCUUGAAAUAACCUUGUCGUUUCAAUUGUUUGUGUGUGUGAGUGAAUGAGGGAGGUUGAAAAUUGGGAAUUUAGUUAACCGGGCUUUUGUUGAAGAGCUGUUUAUCUGAUUUUAGCUGGUAAAUAAGUCCAAGAAAGAAUCAUGUUUUCAAAAUUGUGUGCGUGUGAGGGAGAUCGAAAAUUGAAUUCAGCUAACUGGGCUUUAUUGAAAGCUGUUGAUUUGAUUUCAGCCAUUAAAUAAAUCCAAGAAACUCUGUAUUCUACAUUUUGUGUCUGAGAGAUAGACAGAGAGAGAGUGGGGGGGGAUUAAAAACUGGGAAUUUAGCUUACCGAGCUUUAUUGAAAAGUUGGUGAUCUGAUUUUAGCCAGUUCUUGGCUUUCUUUGUUGUUUUGUUAUUUUUUUUAAUUGACU
RNAcentral lists this long non-coding RNA (721 nucleotides) under Salvia miltiorrhiza (redroot sage). RNAcentral's name for it is "long non-coding RNA (SMIL_LNC002740)". Lineage: Eukaryota; Viridiplantae; Streptophyta; Magnoliopsida; Lamiales; Lamiaceae. The record is from RNAcentral.